This 2254-nucleotide ribosomal RNA is filed under the name Campylobacter jejuni. RNAcentral's name for it is "partial 23S ribosomal RNA". It matches the Rfam family "Bacterial large subunit ribosomal RNA", at positions 717 to 2925 of the family's 2925-position model. Lineage: Bacteria; Pseudomonadati; Campylobacterota; Epsilonproteobacteria; Campylobacterales; Campylobacteraceae. The record is from RNAcentral.
GAAACGAAGUGAUCUAUCCAUGAGCAAGUUGAAGCUAGUGUAAGAACUAGUGGAGGACUGAACCCAUAGGCGUUGAAAAGCCCCGGGAUGACUUGUGGAUAGGGGUGAAAGGCCAAUCAAACUUCGUGAUAGCUGGUUCUCUCCGAAAUAUAUUUAGGUAUAGCGUUGUGUCGUAAUAUAAGGGGGUAGAGCACUGAAUGGGCUAGGGCAUACACCAAUGUACCAAACCCUAUCAAACUCCGAAUACCUUAUAUGUAAUCACAGCAGUCAGGCGGCGAGUGAUAAAAUCCGUCGUCAAGAGGGAAACAACCCAGACUACCAGCUAAGGUCCCUAAAUCUUACUUAAGUGGAAAACGAUGUGAAGUUACUUAAACAACCAGGAGGUUGGCUUAGAAGCAGCCAUCCUUUAAAGAAAGCGUAAUAGCUCACUGGUCUAGUGAUUUUGCGCGGAAAAUAUAACGGGGCUAAAGUAAGUACCGAAGCUGUAGACUUGCACACAACUUAGAUUAUUUAAGUUUAGAAUAAGUAGUUUAAGUUGUGUGCAAGUGGUAGGAGAGCGUUCUAUUUGCGUCGAAGGUAUACCGGUAAGGAGUGCUGGAGCGAAUAGAAGUGAGCAUGCAGGCAUGAGUAGCGAUAAUUAAUGUGAGAAUCAUUAACGCCGUAAACCCAAGGUUUCCUACGCGAUGCUCGUCAUCGUAGGGUUAGUCGGGUCCUAAGUCGAGUCCGAAAGGGGUAGACGAUGGCAAAUUGGUUAAUAUUCCAAUACCAACAUUAGUGUGCGAUGGAAGGACGCUUAGGGCUAAGGGGGCUAGCGGAUGGAAGUGCUAGUCUAAGGUCGUAGGAGGUUAUACAGGCAAAUCCGUAUAACAAUACUCCGAGAACUGAAAGGCUUUUUGAAGUCUUCGGAUGGAUAGAAGAACCCCUGAUGCCGUCGAGCCAAGAAAAGUUUCUAAGUUUAGCUAAUGUUGCCCGUACCGUAAACCGACACAGGUGGGUGGGAUGAGUAUUCUAAGGCGCGUGGAAGAACUCUCUUUAAGGAACUCUGCAAAAUAGCACCGUAUCUUCGGUAUAAGGUGUGGUUAGCUUCGUACUAGGAUUUACUCCGAAAGCGAAGAAACUUACAACAAAGAGUCCCUCCCGACUGUUUACCAAAAACACAGCACUCUGCUAACUCGUAAGAGGAUGUAUAGGGUGUGACGCCUGCCCGGUGCUCGAAGGUUAAUUGAUGGGGUUAGCAUUAGCGAAGCUCUUGAUCGAAGCCCGAGUAAACGGCGGCCGUAACUAUAACGGUCCUAAGGUAGCGAAAUUCCUUGUCGGUUAAAUACCGACCUGCAUGAAUGGCGUAACGAGAUGGGAGCUGUCUCAAAGAGGGAUCCAGUGAAAUUGUAGUGGAGGUGAAAAUUCCUCCUACCCGCGGCAAGACGGAAAGACCCCGUGGACCUUUACUACAGCUUGACACUGCUACUUGGAUAAGAAUGUGCAGGAUAGGUGGGAGGCUUUGAGUAUAUGACGCCAGUUGUAUAUGAGCCAUUGUUGAGAUACCACUCUUUCUUAUUUGGGUAGCUAACCAGCUUGAGUUAUCCUCAAGUGGGACAAUGUCUGGUGGGUAGUUUGACUGGGGCGGUCGCCUCCCAAAUAAUAACGGAGGCUUACAAAGGUUGGCUCAGAACGGUUGGAAAUCGUUCGUAGAGUAUAAAGGUAUAAGCCAGCUUAACUGCAAGACAUACAAGUCAAGCAGAGACGAAAGUCGGUCUUAGUGAUCCGGUGGUUCUGUGUGGAAGGGCCAUCGCUCAAAGGAUAAAAGGUACCCCGGGGAUAACAGGCUGAUCUCCCCCAAGAGCUCACAUCGACGGGGAGGUUUGGCACCUCGAUGUCGGCUCAUCGCAUCCUGGGGCUGGAGCAGGUCCCAAGGGUAUGGCUGUUCGCCAUUUAAAGCGGUACGCGAGCUGGGUUCAGAACGUCGUGAGACAGUUCGGUCCCUAUCUGCCGUGGGCGUAAGAAGAUUGAAGAGAUUUGACCCUAGUACGAGAGGACCGGGUUGAACAAACCACUGGUGUAGCUGUUGUUCUGCCAAGAGCAUCGCAGCGUAGCUAAGUUUGGAAAGGAUAAACGCUGAAAGCAUCUAAGCGUGAAGCCAACUCUAAGAUGAAUCUUCUCUAAGCUCUCUAGAAGACUACUAGUUUGAUAGGCUGGGUGUGUAAUGGAUGAAAGUCCUUUAGCUGACCAGUACUAAUAGAGCGUUUGGCUUAUCUUU